Molecule: long non-coding RNA, 184 nt
Organism: Sinocyclocheilus rhinocerous
Lineage: Eukaryota; Metazoa; Chordata; Actinopteri; Cypriniformes; Cyprinidae
Exons: 3
Source: RefSeq, a predicted model, not a curated record
CCCUUUUUGUUUUUUAAAUCUGUAACUCAAAACUCCUCAUUACUGAUUUUCUGGAGCUCAGCGAUCCAACUACAGACUGUCAACCCACUCUCAACAGUUUUUUGGUCAUAUGUAAGUGUGAGCAGCUCUGUUAAGCUGAGGAUCCUUCUCCGCUUCUCCACUAAAUGCAUCACAUCCCACAACC